UUCAUCUUUUCGUCAGCUCUGAGCAGCUGUUCUGUUCCUGCUGAGAACAGGCAUGCAGACACUCCCAUGUUUUAUCAUGAGGAUGGAUGGUGAGCUUAGUGACCAGCAGUGUUUAUUUUCUGCCACUUGUGGGACAUGUCAUAUAACCUAUGAAGUUCAAUUUUGGUCUCAUUUUUGGCUGUCGUCUUGUUUGCUUCUCAAAAGAAUGCUCUCCCUACCAAGACUGAGUAAUGUGAUUAAUCUGAUGAGAUCAAAUCAAAAACAUUCCACAUUUUGAACCGCAACAUAAGAUGUGACCCCCGUAUGCAGCCCUGGCAUGAGAGGCUCCCAGAAGAAUCUGUAAUCACACUUUGAUUGGGCCCAUUAACCUCAUGAAAUAUAUAUGUGUGACUGAACUCAUCCACUUAAACUUUGGCAGGAGCCAAAUAUGCCUGUUUGGAAUUCAACGGGGCAUUCAAGGGCAAAAUUCGUUUUCUCUGUGACUUGUUCUCUCACUAUUGCUUCAGUUGUUCUUCCUUCUAUUGUCAGAAAUAAUUCACUAUGGUCGUCCUUUCUGAGUCCCAAAGGGGGAUUCAGUUGAAGUUGUGCCAGUGUGUGUGUGUGUGACUGGCAUCAGGGUUUUGCCCAUACAUAUAAGUAAACAUUUUAUAUUGUCUAUUUU
Gambusia affinis (western mosquitofish) is the source of this 661-nucleotide long non-coding RNA. RefSeq lists it as uncharacterized. Lineage: Eukaryota; Metazoa; Chordata; Actinopteri; Cyprinodontiformes; Poeciliidae. The record is from RefSeq and is a predicted model, not a curated record. The transcript is spliced from 3 exons.